This 398-nucleotide ribosomal RNA is filed under the name uncultured bacterium. RNAcentral describes it as "partial 16S ribosomal RNA". It matches the Rfam family "Bacterial small subunit ribosomal RNA", at positions 523 to 918 of the family's 1533-position model. The record is from RNAcentral.
AUACGUAGGGUGCGAGCGUUGUCCGGAAUUACUGGGCGUAAAGAGCUCGUAGGUGGUUUGUCGCGUCGUCUGUGAAAUUCCGGGGCUUAACUCCGGGCGUGCAGGCGAUACGGGCAUAACUUGAGUACUGUAGGGGAGACUGGAAUUCCUGGUGUAGCGGUGAAAUGCGCAGAUAUCAGGAGGAACACCGGUGGCGAAGGCGGGUCUCUGGGCAGUAACUGACGCUGAGGAGCGAAAGCAUGGGUAGCGAACAGGAUUAGAUACCCUGGUAGUCCAUGCCGUAAACGGUGGGCGCUAGGUGUAGGAGUCUUCCACGACUUCUGUGCCGUAGCUAACGCAUUAAGCGCCCCGCCUGGGGAGUACGGCCGCAAGGCUAAAACUCAAAGGAAUUGGCGGGG